GACGAACGCUGGCGGCGUGCUUAACACAUGCAAGUCGAACGGUGAAGCGCCUUCCUUUUUGGUGGGUGUGGAUGAGUGGCGAACGGGUGAGUAACACGUGAGUAACCUGCCCCCUUCUUCUGGAUAACCGCAUGAAAGUGUGGCUAAUACGGGAUAUUCUGGGUCUGUCGCAUGAUGGGUCUGGGAAAGAUAUUGUUUCGGUGGGGGAUGGGCUCGCGGCCUAUCAGCUUGUUGGUGGGGUGAUGGCCUACCAAGGCGGUGACGGGUAGCCGGCCUGAGAGGGUGGACGGUCACACUGGGACUGAGACACGGCGCAGACUCCGACGGGAGGCAGCAGUGGGGAAUAUUGCACAAUGGGCGCAAGCCUGAUGCAGCGACGCCGCGUGAGGGAUGGAGGCCGUCGGGUUGUGAACCUCUUUUGCCAGUGAAGCAGGCCUGCCUCGUUUGUGGGUGGGUUGACGGUAGCUGGAUAAGAAGCGCCGGCUAACUACGUG
This 494-nucleotide ribosomal RNA is filed under the name uncultured bacterium. RNAcentral's name for it is "partial 16S ribosomal RNA". It matches the Rfam family "Bacterial small subunit ribosomal RNA", at positions 28 to 507 of the family's 1533-position model. The record is from RNAcentral.